RNAcentral lists this ribosomal RNA (434 nucleotides) under uncultured Clostridium sp. Its description in RNAcentral is "partial 16S ribosomal RNA". It matches the Rfam family "Bacterial small subunit ribosomal RNA", at positions 341 to 792 of the family's 1533-position model. The record is from RNAcentral. Lineage: Bacteria; Bacillati; Bacillota; Clostridia; Eubacteriales; Clostridiaceae.
ACGGAAGGCAGCAGUGGGGUAUAUUGCACAAUGGAGGAAACUCUGAUGCAGCAAUGCCGCGUGAGGGAAGAAGGUCUUCGGAUUGUAAACCUAAGUAGACAGGGACGAUAAUGACGGUACCUGUAAAGUAAGCUCCGGCUAACUACGUGCCAGCAGCCGCGGUAAUACGUAGGGAGCGAGCGUUGUCCGGAAUUACUGGGUGUAAAGGGUGCGUAGGCGGGUCUGCGAGUCAGGUGUGAAAUACCGGGGCUUAACUCCGGGGCUGCACUUGAAACUGUGGAUCUUGAGUGAAGUAGAGGUAAGUGGAAUUCCCAGUGUAGCGGUGAAAUGCGUAGAUAUUGGGAGGAACACCAGUGGCGAAGGCGACUUGCUGGGCUUUAACUGACGCUGAGGCACGAAAGCAUGGGGAGCAAACAGGAUUAGAUACCCUGGUA